This 497-nucleotide ribosomal RNA is filed under the name uncultured bacterium. RNAcentral's name for it is "partial 16S ribosomal RNA". It matches the Rfam family "Bacterial small subunit ribosomal RNA", at positions 28 to 507 of the family's 1533-position model. The record is from RNAcentral.
GAUGAACGCUGGCGGCGUGCCUAAUACAUGCAAGUCGAGCGAACCGCCUUGAACUUUUUCCCCCUGACGUUGGCGGCGUAAGUGUGAGUCACACGUGGGUAACAUACCUAUAAAACUUGGAUCACUUCGGGAAACCGGAGCUAAUACCGGAUAAUAUAUCGAAACACAUGGAUAAAUAGGCAUAGCUGGUUUUGCUGUACCUCAUAGAUGGAUGCGCGCCGCAUUAGCUAGUUGGUAAGGUAUCGGCUUACGACGUCCCAGAUGGUUAACCCACCUCAGAGGAUGAUCGGCCACACGGGAUCUGAGACAGAGUCCAGACUCCUACGGGAGGCAGCAGUCGGGAAUCUUCCGCAAGGGGCGAAAGCCUGACAGAGCAACACCGCGUGAGUGAUGAAGGAGUUCCGAUCGGAGAACUCUGUAAUAUGGGAAGAACAAAUGUUUAAGUAACAAUGCACGUCUUGACGGUACCUAAUCAGAAAGCCACGGCUAACUACGAG